CCUGAGUAUAUUCUAAACAUGACAUUUUGAAUAAAUAAUAUAACAAAGAAUAAACUAUACAAUGCAAGUUAUGCCACAUAUAUUGUGUGGAGAACUUAUAUUCUAAAAUAGUAAUAUGAUGAUAACCUACUAAUCCAUUUAUCAGAUUGUAAUUAGGUAUUUUUUUUGAUACAGAAACAUGUUUCUUCAAUUUAACAGCAAACCAGAAGUGGAUUUGAUAAGUUUGGGUCAAACUUAUCAAUGUAAGGUCAAACAUUAUGACGUCGUCAAUAAUUCAGGUCAAAUUUGUUUAGAUAAAAAUAACUAGAGGCUCUAAAGAGCCUGUGUCGCUCACCUUGGUCUUGUGCAUAUUAAAUAAUGGACACGGAUAAAUUCAUGACAUAAUUGUGUUUUUUGGUGAUAGUGAUGUGUUUGUAGAUCUUACUUUACUGAACAUUCUUGUUGCUACAAAUAUCUCUGACUAUAAUGAACUUGGCCCAGUAAUUACAGUGGAAAAUAUUUUCUACAAAUUUACAAAAAUUUAUGACAAAUGUUAAAAAUUAGCUAUAAAGGGCAAUAACUCCUUAAGGGGUCAACUGACUAUUUUGGUCAUGUAAACUUAUUUGUAGAUCUUAUUUUGCUGAACGUUACUGCUGUAUACAGUUUAUCUCUAUCUAUAAUAAUAUUCAAGAUAAUGACAAAAAACGGCAAAAUUUCCUUAAAAUUACCAAUUCAGGACAGUAACCUAACAACGGGUUGUCCGAUCCAUGUGAAAACAUCAGGGCAGAUAUCUUGAUCUUCCCUGAUAAACAAUUAAACCCUGUCAGAUUUUCUCUUAAUGCUUCGGUUUUUGAGUUAUAAGCCAAAAACUGCAUUUUACCCCUAUGUUCUAUUAUUAGCCGUAGCACUUUUUGGUUGAUUGGCCAGGUCACGCCACACAUUUUUUAAACAAAUUAUCCCAAUGAUGAUUGUGGCAAAGCUUAGUUUAAUUUGGCCCAGUAGUUUCAGAGAAGAAGAUUUUUGUAAAAGAUAACUAAGAUUUACCAAAAAAUGGUUAAAAAUUGACUAUAAAGGGCAAUAACUCCUUCAGGGUCAACUGACCGUUUUGG
This 1088-nucleotide long non-coding RNA is filed under the name Mytilus galloprovincialis (Mediterranean mussel). Lineage: Eukaryota; Metazoa; Mollusca; Bivalvia; Mytilida; Mytilidae. The record is from RNAcentral.